Molecule: ribosomal RNA, 450 nt
Filed under: uncultured bacterium
Lineage: Bacteria
Description: bacterial SSU rRNA
Rfam family: Bacterial small subunit ribosomal RNA
Source: RNAcentral
UCAAGAAACUUCCACAAUGGGCGAAAGCCUGAUGGAGCGACGUCGCGUGAUGGACGAAGUGCUUCGGCACGUAAACAUCUUUUAUGUGGGAUGAAAUUAUUGACAGUACCACAUGAAUAAGGGGCUCCUAACUCUGUGCCAGCAGGAGCGGUAAUACAGAGGCCCCAAGCGUUAUCCGGAAUCACUGGGCGUAAAGGGUGUCGAGUCGGUUGUAUUAGCCGUUCGUAAAAUCUACGAGCUUAACUUGUAGGCGGCGAACGAAACGGUACGACUUGAGGUUUGGAGAGGUGCGUGGAACUCACGGUGUAGGGGUGAAAUCCGUUGAUAUCGUGGGGAACACCAAAGGCGAAGGCAGCGCACUGGCCAAAAUCUGACGCUCACACACGAAAGCUAGGGUAGCGAAGAGGAUUAGAUACCCUCGUAGUCCCUGAGCGGGCUGGCAAGGCGCAU